UUAAAAAAACUGCUGCCAACGCACGCCCCCACGACCUCUCGCCAACCCCCCUCCUCCUCCCCCUCCCAACGGACGCCACAGCAUGGGCGGGCCUCCGCACGCCGAUCCUCCCGCACCGUUCGCCGCCCCGCCGUUCCUCCGCAGCCGCGGGAGCCACCGCGCCGCCGCCCCGCCGUUCCUCCCGCUCCGUUCGCCGCGGGAGCCGCCGCGCCCUUCGCCGCCCAGCCAUUCCUCCUGCUCCAUCCACCGCGGGAGCCGCCGCGCCCUUCGCCGUCCCGUCGCAUGGUGGUCGGAGGGGUGAGAUGAUUGGCUCUGGUGGGUUCGGGCAUGUCUACCUCGGGAUGAAUCUGGACAUUGGCGAGCUCCUCGCAGUAAAGCAACUGCUAGGCUUUUGCGAUUUGGUGAUCUGGUUUGCACUUUCUACAGACAUGAAGUCAUUCGUUACACUAAGUCUCUCUCCUUUGUUUGAUUUUUUGUUCCAGCUUUGAUUGGAAGCACCAACACGACCCGGGAGAAAGCCAACUGAGUACCACUUCCCCAACCGAUCUGGUUACAAAUUUAGUUGUUGAGAUUUUUCUUCAUAUGAGGUGAUGAUUUGUGGCUUCUGUUUCUACAAUUAGCCGCAUAUAUAAGAUAAUUCAAGGAAGAAUUACAGCUCCUCAAGAACCUUUUGCACCCCAAUAUUGCAGGAGAGAAGGAGGACAAAAAGGCAUUGUGGAUACAUAUAUGAAGACCCAACGGAAGAAGCGAAGGGAGGAAUGCCAACAACAAGAGGCUGCAGCUAAAAGGUCAAGACUACAGAGUUGAAGAAGAGAUGCUACAAGUGCAAAGCUUGUGACCUUUUUCAAACAGUGGUGCAAUCCUGAUGUUAUCGACUUAAUUUUUCUCUUAAAUCAAGACUUUGCUCUUACUGGUUCCUUAACUUUUGCAUAAAGUUGAAUCAAGAAAUACAUUAAGUUUUAUUGUUAGAUGUUCUCCUAUACAAUUGCCAUUCCUUUAAUGCUCUUAUACAAUUACUAUCUUGAAUAAGGAUGUGACAUGUAUUAAUAUAUGUAUCCUGCUAAGUUUGCAAGACAGUUUUUGAUAUGUAACUUCAAAAUUAAAAUGACUUCCUUUCAUCACUUUCUGAAUGAGGAAAUUGGCGCAUCUCUAAUUGAUAUUUCAUCUUGAACAUUACUACAUUUAAUAGAAUUAUGAUUGAAUUGUAUUUUCGAAAGAACUUACAACCUGAAGAAGUAGAGAAACUUAGUGUCUACAGUAGUGUAAUAAAGAGCAAUUGCCUCUAAUGACUUGGUUUUCUCUAUACCUCACAUCACAUAGGAUGAUAGGGUCAAGCUUUCCACUUUUCCAGUGUGAGCUUAGAUGUUUGUUUGGUACUCCUUUUCUGUAAGUUCUUUAUAUAGGUCGAUGAAAUUAGGUUAAAGAGGUAGGAGAGGGGAGCAGGGAGGGGAUGGUGACCUCGUGGCAUGUACUCUGUAUGCCUGCAGAGAGAUUUAUUGUUUCUAGACACAUAAAACCCCCUUGAUACAUCGUUCUGGUUGCCAUCUGCGAGUUUCUGUAACAACAGAGUAAUUUAUUUGGAAGCAAUUGUUAUUGAGGUAAGAGUCUUUCUGGGUAGUUUGCCGCAAGUAUUUAACUUAUGAUUUCAGUUUGAGAUAUACAACCGGCAAUCUGUAAUCAAUACUUCUUAUCAGACAAUCUAGAUGGGUUAUAGAAUUUAUUUGCAAAUCUUGUACAUAAGCUUAAGAAUAUCCCUGCUACUUUGGGAUAUUGUGGUGUUAAAUGACCGCUUCAUCAAUCAUAAUCCGAGGUGGUGUUUGUCCAUCCAAUGGCGAAGAAUAUUACAACAGAGAACUGCACCACCAAGCAAAUUCACUCCAAACCAAAAUCUGAUAAGGCAUGUCGCGACGCUAGGAGGUGUUGUAGUGCUUGGUAGCCUGCCACAGUCCACAAGCAUAGAGCCAAAGUUGUGAGUGGGUUGUCUUUGGUCUAAGGUUUUUUAAAUGCAUCAGAAUUUAUGUUUGUUUGUAACCUGAAAUUUGCAGAUGGUUUCUGGCUGUAGCUACAAUUUUUUGGCAUCAUACGGCGGUAACACAAUAAGGUUCAGUUAUGUGUUCAUACAUUAAAAAAUUCUACGUACGAACUGACUGCAUCAGUUGUUUUGCUUCUCCUAUUCCCUUGAAAGGAUUGCUUGAUGAAAAGAUGUUUUGCUUUUGCAGCCUUAUUUCUUAUCUAAUUUCCGUAGUGGUGCUUAUGUAUAGUUGAUUAAUGAAUGGAACGACCAAGUAGGCUGAUGUCAAAUGCUUUUACAGAUCAGGGCAGAAUUGAUGCUGAUUUUAUAUCUUGAAGUUUUUAAAUCCUGUAACGAAACUAUUGCCAAUGCUUUGAGUAACCCCCUGGUUGUAGAGUAAGGGCUCGCUUAUAUUUUCAAUACAUACUUUUAAUUUUUAUCUUUUCCUUUUUCGGUAGCCCUUAAUAAUCACCGCUAAGUUCCAGUCUACAUAAUACGAAACAUAGAAGUAUGCAUUGCAUAAUUUUAGGCAGCAACAUGAAUUGUGGUUUAGGCAAGCAUAUAUUUGUCCUAGCGUUGUAUAUAUGGUGAGGCUUUUUCAAUAUGGUUGUUCUUAGAUAACUCGAUGAUAAUUACAAGUUGGUAAAUUCAGUUCUUAUUGGAGUCCUUUAUUUUUAUCCAAAACGAAAACAAUGGUAAUACCUUGUGUAACUUUGAUUCAAUAAAUAAAUUAUAUAAUUCAGAACCUAUUGUGGUAUAUGCCAAAAGGGUUUGGUGUAUACCAACAUGCAUCAAGUUUCUAUCAGAUGUCUCUUAAUUUGUGAAAUAUUGCACCAACGUUCAGCUCUGAAACUAUACUCAUUGCUCUGACGACAGUAAGAAUGUACAACACUAGGUUUGAUUUGGUUCGAAAUGCCUAAUUAAGUUCCAUCUUAAUAAUUUCUUACCUUUGCCUUGUGUAAAAAUGCAGUUGUGCGAUCCAUGUUUCAUCCUAUCGUGGAGAUCUCUCGAGCUGCAUUUUGUGGAAGCACAUGAAAAUGCAGGUUUUGAUUGAUGAAUUGGUUGACUUAGCACCCAUGAACUCGAGCUGAAAGGAAGUAGGCCUGUAACGAGCCAAGCCAUGCAAGAUACAAAUAAUUGUUGCCUUGGCAUUUAUCUCUUUCUUCAUGGUGUUUACAUUGUACUGUAAAUGCGGAACAAAUAUUGCGAUGUGAUAGAUGACAGUGAAAUGCAGAAUUUUGAGAGCUCAUAUGUGUGGGGUAGGUUGCCUUUGAUGCAGACCUGAAAUUAAAUAGGUAUGCAUUGACUCAUCAGGAGAGAAAUUUAUGUGAAUGGGUUUAA
Triticum urartu is the source of this 3352-nucleotide RNA transcript. RefSeq lists it as uncharacterized. NCBI's taxonomy places the organism in Eukaryota, Viridiplantae, Streptophyta, Magnoliopsida, Poales, Poaceae. The record is from RefSeq and is a predicted model, not a curated record.